Molecule: ribosomal RNA, 408 nt
Filed under: uncultured microorganism
Description: bacterial SSU rRNA
Rfam family: Archaeal small subunit ribosomal RNA
Source: RNAcentral
GCGCACCAGUCGCGAAACUUUACAAUGUGCGAAAGCACGAUAAGGGAACUCUGAGUGCCUCCUAAGGAGGCUGUUCAGGUGUCUAAAAGCACCUGAAGGAAGGGCUGGGUAAGACCGGUGCCAGCCGCCGCGGUAACACCGGCAGCCCAAGUGGUAGCCACGUUUAUUGGGUCUAAAGCGUCCGUAGCCGGCUGGGUAAGUUCCUUGGGAAAUUUGGCUGCUUAACAGUCAAGCUUUCAGGGAAUACUGCUCGGCUUGGGACCGGGAGAGGUCAGAGGUACUCCAGGGGUAGGGGUGAAAUCCAUUAAUCCUUGGGGGACCACCGGUAGCGAAGGCGUCUGACCAGACCGGGUCCGACGGUGAGGGACGAAGGCUAGGGGCGCGAACCGGAUUAGAUACCCGUGUAGU